UACAGAGGGUGCAAGCGUUGUUCGGAAUUACUGGGCGUAAAGGGUUCGUAGGUGGCCACUUAAGUCAGACGUGAAAUCCCUCAGCUUAACUGGGGAACUGCGUCUGAUACUGCGUGGCUUGAGUGCAGGAGAGGAAUGCGGAAUUCCAGGUGUAGCGGUGAAAUGCGUAGAUAUCGGGAGGAACACCAGUGGCGAAGGCGACUACCUGGCCUGUUCUUGACGCUGAGGCGCGAAAGCUAGGGGAGCAAACGGG
Molecule: ribosomal RNA, 253 nt
Filed under: uncultured bacterium
Lineage: Bacteria
Description: partial 16S ribosomal RNA
Rfam family: Bacterial small subunit ribosomal RNA
Source: RNAcentral